RNAcentral lists this ribosomal RNA (246 nucleotides) under uncultured Cellulomonas sp. Its description in RNAcentral is "partial 16S ribosomal RNA". It matches the Rfam family "Bacterial small subunit ribosomal RNA", at positions 1138 to 1382 of the family's 1533-position model. The record is from RNAcentral. Lineage: Bacteria; Bacillati; Actinomycetota; Actinomycetes; Micrococcales; Cellulomonadaceae.
UCAGUGGGAGACUGCCGGGGUCAACUCGGAGGAAGGUGGGGAUGACGUCAAAUCAUCAUGCCCCUUAUGUCUUGGGCUUCACGCAUGCUACAAUGGCCGGUACAAAGGGCUGCGAUACCGCGAGGUGGAGCGAAUCCCAGAAAGCCGGUCUCAGUUCGGAUUGGGGUCUGCAACUCGACCCCAUGAAGUCGGAGUCGCUAGUAAUCGCAGAUCAGCAACGCUGCGGUGAAUACGUUCCCGGGCCUU